RNAcentral lists this long non-coding RNA (1302 nucleotides) under Homo sapiens (human). RNAcentral describes it as "HSALNT0119868". Lineage: Eukaryota; Metazoa; Chordata; Mammalia; Primates; Hominidae. The record is from RNAcentral.
GCUGGGCGUGGUGGCUCACGCCUGUAAUCCCAGCACUUUGGGAGGCUGAGGCGGGCAAAUCACGAGGUCAGGAGAUCAAGACCAGCCUGGCCAACAUGGUGAAACCCUGUCUCUACUAAAAAUACACACACACACACACACACAAAAGCCAGGCGUGGUGGCUAGUGCCUGUAAUCCCAGCUACUCAGGAGGCUGAGGCAGGAGAAUUGCUUGAACCUAGGAGGCAGAGAUUGCAGUGAGUCGAGAUCCCGCCACUGCACUCCAGCCUUGGAGACGGAGCAAGACCCCAUCUGGGAGGUGUCGGGUGGAAGAGGUAAAAUGGACAGCAGCAAACCACACGUGUGAUAGGAGAGAAUACUGAGCUGAGAUCAGUUUCCUAAAAUAUGAAUCCGAUUUCAGGAUCACUCAUUUAUCUGACUGUCAAGAACGCCUCUGAACAGGAGGAAGACUUUGGGGAGAGGGUGGGGUUUGUUGAAAGGGUACCGAGAAGGGAGGUGGGUGGUACCCAAACAAUUUGUUUACAUAAUGUUUUAUGGACCUGAAAUAUGUAGAACAGUACUUUGAAACUAAAGUACUGUACUGAAGUUUAAUUAUUUUUCUUAUUGUUUGCAUAUUCUCCCUCCCAGAUACUUUACAGAGGGCGCUAAAGCUGAUCCCCUGGGAGCUUCAGAGUUUAAUGACUUCGCCUGAAGAUUUCCUAUUCUUUUCCACAACGUGCUAAGUCAAAUUAUGGCCAAAUUACCAAUCGCAUGGUAAUUCAGCUUCUAAAUAUAUUUUGCAGAGUGUUUCCAAAAGUUAAAAAACAACAACAAAACUUCACCUAAAUUGUUUUUACUUGCUUCACCUUAAAUCAGUUAUUCGGUUCCUUUGAAGAACAUGUAGCUUUAGCAACCCCCAAAGUGAACCCAGAUACCCAGGACUACUGAUUGUUACAUCAGAGUUUUUGAAAACGCCAAUACUGGAAACAGGCCGACAGUUAAGGAGAGGCAGGCCUCAAACUAAAGCAGAACCUUCUCAAAACUACUUAUAUUUCAAGAGAUGGAUUAAGCGAAAAGAGCUGUACAAAGAAAUAAGCCAUUUUCUAUGCGCCUGUUAUAUGCAAGGCACUGCACUCCCUUGUCACUUGUUAAUUUACAAGAAGACUCGCCGGUCCAGGGAAGGGAGAGGGGAAUAGGUGCAAGGUUUGUGGAGGGCGGCAAACUGCACUCCAUGUGGCGCGAGGCUGCGCUUGCGGAGAUCCGGGUUCUGGUGCCUGGCGCCGGCAGCCAGUAGGGGCGCGCGUCCUGCGCAGUUGCCGCGCGC